GGUGCAAACAACUGUCAGCUCCUUUUAAAUGUAUUAGCAGAGCAGUGUUGGGACUGGCUUCAGUUUGAUAAGAAGUUAUCUAUGCUGUCGCUGGGUUUUCCUCUUUGUGCUUAGCUUCAAACUGUCUAUGGACUGUCCCUCAAGGCAACAAAAUUUUAUUGAUCGACCUCAAAUCAGGUAGGACUACCCGCUGAACUUAA
Molecule: unclassified non-coding RNA, 200 nt
Filed under: soil metagenome
Description: partial contains internal transcribed spacer 2 and large subunit ribosomal RNA
Source: RNAcentral